GGAUGCGAUGAUACCAGCACUAAAGCACCGGAUCCCAUCAAAACUCCGAAGUUAAGCGUGCUUGGGCGAGAAUAGUACAAGGAUGGGUGACCUCCUGGGAAGUCCUCGUGUUGCAUUCC
This 119-nucleotide ribosomal RNA is filed under the name Triticum aestivum (bread wheat). The record is from RNAcentral. Lineage: Eukaryota; Viridiplantae; Streptophyta; Magnoliopsida; Poales; Poaceae.